UUUUUUUUCAAAUGUGAUGAACCUUAUUUGGUAAUAUGUGAACAUGUUUGCAAAUAAUUAGAAAAUAAAACACUACAGUGUAAUGAGUAGUAAAUUGCGCGUCUAGUUUCCAUUCUUUAAAAACAUUGCGCUGUGAUUAUUCACAAGCAGGAGGCUGGUCUAGUGGUUAGCCUUUCUUCUCUUCGGCGGCGCUGAAGGCACGCAAUAGGAGCUCCCGAAAAAUCGUGACCGGGCGGACCGCCCGGGUGUUUGAGGCCGGUUUGGGGCGACCGGCUGUAAAUCUAAUCCUGGCGAGCAGGGAAGGCCUGGCAUGCUCUAACGUACGCUCGUUGCGGCUGCUUCCACAACACCCAGGAUGUAAGCAGAGCACAAAAGAUUCAGAUCCACAGACGUUACUGCUUCCAAAACAUCCAUCCAUAGCUGACAAUUGGCUCAAGAGCAAAAGAAGAUAAAAGAAAGCAUACUCUGUUCAGUGUUCACAUCUUUUCCAGAAAGGGAGGUACUAUACAUCAGUAAUAAUUUCGAUUAACCAGUGCACCGAGCAACUCUUAACUAGUGCCACAACAUACCCAAAGAAGCACAAACGACAUUUCAUACUGUACACACAGACCCGGUUUUUGUACAAACAUUUCAUAUCGACUUGUAUAAGCAAAAACAAUCUACCCGAGAACUCAACUUUGAAUCUGUUGACCAAAACAUAAGGCUUUCGCUCUGGAAGCUGAGCCGAACUUGGAACAUCAUGUAUGGUGUCGAGCU
Molecule: long non-coding RNA, 756 nt
Filed under: Triticum aestivum (bread wheat)
Lineage: Eukaryota; Viridiplantae; Streptophyta; Magnoliopsida; Poales; Poaceae
Description: long non-coding RNA (TAES_LNC016438)
Source: RNAcentral